RNAcentral lists this ribosomal RNA (492 nucleotides) under uncultured bacterium. Its description in RNAcentral is "partial 16S ribosomal RNA". It matches the Rfam family "Bacterial small subunit ribosomal RNA", at positions 29 to 507 of the family's 1533-position model. The record is from RNAcentral.
AGUGAACGCUGGCGGUAGGCCUAACACAUGCAAGUCGAACGGCAGCACAGUAAGAGCUUGCUCUUACGGGUGGCGAGUGGCGGACGGGUGAGGAAUACAUCGGAAUCUACUUUUUCGUGGGGGAUAACGUAGGGAAACUUACGCUAAUACCGCAUACGACCUACGGGUGAAAGCAGGGGAUCUUCGGACCUUGCGCGAUUGAAUGAGCCGAUGUCGGAUUAGCUAGUUGGCGGGGUAAAGGCCCACCCAGGCGACGAUCCGUAGCUGGUCUGAGAGGAUGAUAAGCCACACUGGAACUGAGACACGGUCCAGACUCCUACGGGAGGCAGCAGUGGGGAAUAUUGGACAAUGGGCGCAAGCCUGAUCCAGCCAUACCGCGUGGGUGAAGAAGGCCUUCGGGUUGUAAAGCCCUUUUGUUGGGAAAGAAAAGCAGCAGGUUAAUACCCCGCUGUUCUGACGGUACCCAAAGAAUAAGCACCGGCUAACUUCGUG